Long non-coding RNA from Scaptodrosophila lebanonensis, 1969 nucleotides. RefSeq lists it as uncharacterized. The record is from RefSeq and is a predicted model, not a curated record. The transcript is spliced from 2 exons. Lineage: Eukaryota; Metazoa; Arthropoda; Insecta; Diptera; Drosophilidae.
AAACGUAAUAACAGUCAGUACGAGAGUUUGCUAAACAUGUCUAUAGUGACCACAGGGUGUUUCGUGACAUAGCAACUUAAACGUGCACAAACCGUGACGAUGUCGGUAUUGGUAUCAGCACCGUGUGAGAGCAGGAAAGAGAGAGCUUACAUUUGUAUAUGUGUGUGUACAUACAAAUACAGAGAUAAUGACUGAGACUGCCAUGCUUUGCGCUGUAUAUAACGAAAUCGACAAAACUGAACAUCAGAAACAGCCCAGAAACCAAACAGACGAGUAGCAGGCUAUAGCGCUGCCACGGUUACACUUUGCGGAGACGGCGCACACACAUUUAAGCAUACAUACAGUGUUUUGUGGUGGUGGAAGUAGUACUAGUGUUGUGUGCCAUGACUCUGACAAACGGAAAUGAGAAGCACACAAAGACGAUGGCAAAUAUACAUAGAAAGCAAACCAAACAAAUAGAAAUAACUACUGCAACGGUUGAGAAGGUAAAAAAUGCAGUAAAAACACAAACAACAAACCGCUGCAUGACAAGGGCGGAAAAUUGGCAAAACCGCUUUUAACAACUAAACCGUGAUGAAAGAUUGAUUCAAGAAAGUAAUUAAACAAAAUUACAGAGGCAGAAGCAACAAAAAAGUCUGUAUACGUGCAAAAUCUUGAACUGAUGGGUGAAAAUUGAAACCUUGCAGUUAUCGAUUUCUUGCAGUCAUUGCGCAAUGCACCAGAGGAACAGAGAGAAAGAGAGUGCAAGAGAGCAAAACAUUGAGAGAAAAGGCACCUGCCAGUAAAAUGUUUAUGUCGCUGCCAUGUUUAGUUAGUGCAGGUAAAGUAGGGCUGUAAGUGAUUUUCUGUUGUGAUUUUAUGACAGCAGCGUUAACAAUGAUACUCUUCAAAAGUUUAAAGUUCACGAGCGCGGCUAAGACAUCUUGCAACUGCAGCGCAUGUCCGGCCGCAUCUGCGUCAGAUGCACAUAUUGAAAAAGUGCCAGGAGCAUCGCCCAUGCCACCCACACGCCGUGAUAUCGCGAAACCUUGGACUGACCCCUUAAUCAAAGCAAGUGCAAAAGGGACGGUCUGAUGUGCGGUGGAAGAGCUUGAAAUAAACGCAAUGCUGCAAUGUUUCCAUUCGGCGUUGCCUAGCCCAGAAGCUUUACCUUUCAACCGAAAAUGCAGCUAUAUGUGAACCAAAACUGUCCUAUUCCUGGAAAUAUUGGUGUUCUUGCAUGCAGCCAUGCGAGAAUAUGUCAGGUGGUUGUAUAAUUUUUGUGAUACGCCCACGACGUUUGACAGAAUACGACGUUCAUCGUGAAUUGCGCAAUAAUUAACAAGCAAUAAUAAAUUAUAUCCCACCGUUAUGAAUACGUAUCACAUUGUUAAGAAAUUGCUUACAUAAGACAGCAGAUGCAGGGGUCAUAAUAAUAAUACCAACCGACAACAUUUACAAACAUCAACCAAUCAUACACUGCACAAUAUUUGUAAACACAAAGAAAAACAACACCAAUCGCAACAAAAUAAUUGUACAAUAACGCUGAUUCUGUUCAUUUUUAGCCAUCGUUUAUAUAACCAGUUUCGUCGACCACAUAAAUAUGUAUGAAAAUAUGAGUAUAAAUGUAUUUGUCGAGAAUUUUACAAAUCAUCAGCAAUAAUAUACUUGUAGAUAUAAACAAGCUAUAUUUUCCAGAAGCUUGUAUGUGAUAUAAAAUGAUGUUAUAAAAUCGACCAAAAACGAGAGCAAAAUUAUUAUUCAACCAUUUUUGACGAACAAGACAUGAAUAAUGUUUGUUAUGAUUUUAUGAACAAGUUUUUCAAAGUUGUGUAUAAAUAAAUGUGAGCAUAAAUGGGCACGAAUUAAAUUUAACAUAAAAUAAUAAUAAUUUAUAAAAGACAUGUAUUUUUUUUAGUUAAUUGAUUAGUUGAUUUUAGGGAAAACAGGCUAUUAUUUACAUACAAAAUAAAAACAUUAUAUGAAUUGG